UACGGAGGGUGCAAGCGUUAUCCGGAUUCACUGGGUUUAAAGGGUGCGUAGGCGGGCAGGUAAGUCCGUGGUGAAAUCUCUGAGCUUAACUCAGAAACUGCCAUGGAUACUAUUUGUCUUGAAUAUUGUGGAGGUAAGCGGAAUAUGUCAUGUAGCGGUGAAAUGCUUAGAUAUGACAUAGAACACCGAUAGCGAAGGCAGCCUGCUAAAGUCGUGCUGACGCUGAUGCACGAAAGCGUGGGUAGCGAACAGG
RNAcentral lists this ribosomal RNA (253 nucleotides) under uncultured bacterium. RNAcentral's name for it is "partial 16S ribosomal RNA". It matches the Rfam family "Bacterial small subunit ribosomal RNA", at positions 524 to 776 of the family's 1533-position model. The record is from RNAcentral.